AACACGACUCUCGGCAACGGAUAUCUCGGCUCUCGCAUCGAUGAAGAACGUAGCAAAAUGCGAUACCUGGUGUGAAUUGCAGAAUCCCGUGAACCAUCGAGUUUUUGAACGCAAGUUGCGCCCGAGGCCUUCUGGUCGAGGGCACGCCUGCCUGGGCGUCACGC
This 164-nucleotide ribosomal RNA is filed under the name Digitaria sanguinalis. RNAcentral describes it as "5.8S ribosomal RNA". It matches the Rfam family "5.8S ribosomal RNA". From Rfam's summary of the family: 5.8S ribosomal RNA (5.8S rRNA) is a component of the large subunit of the eukaryotic ribosome. It is transcribed by RNA polymerase I as part of the 45S precursor that also contains 18S and 28S rRNA. The record is from RNAcentral. Lineage: Eukaryota; Viridiplantae; Streptophyta; Magnoliopsida; Poales; Poaceae. RNAcentral also lists the same sequence under 7 other names.